CCUACGGGAGGCAGCAGUGGGGAAUCUUGCACAAUGGAGGAAACUCUGAUGCAGCGAUGCCGCGUGAGUGAAGAAGGCCUUUGGGUUGUAAAACUCUUUUGUAGGGGAAGAUAAUGACUGUACCCUAAGAAUAAGGUCCGGCUAACUUCGUGCCAGCAGCCGCGGUAAUACGAAGGGACCUAGCGUAGUUCGGAAUUACUGGGCGUAAAGCGCGCGUAGGCCGUUGAGUUAGUUAAUUGUGAAAUCCCAAAGCUUAACUUUGGAACUGCAAUUAAAACUGCUCGACUAGAGUUUGAUAGAGGAAAGCGGAAUACAUAGUGUAGAGGUGAAAUUCGUAGAUAUUAUGUAGAACACCAGUUGCGAAGGCGGCUUUCUGGAUCAACACUGACGCUGAGGCGCGAAAGUAUGGGUAGCAAAGAGGAUUAGAUACCCUCGUAGUCCAUACCAUAAACGAUGAUUGCUAGAUGUUGGAAAUUUAUUUCAGUAUCGCANCUACGACAUAGUACAUCGCCGUGGUAGUACGACCGACGAACGUAAACGUACAAGAAUAGAGCGNGAGAGNGCGACGACGACGACGAGGAGAG
RNAcentral lists this ribosomal RNA (584 nucleotides) under uncultured bacterium. Its description in RNAcentral is "bacterial SSU rRNA". The stretch from base 1 to 512 matches the Rfam family "Bacterial small subunit ribosomal RNA", at positions 338 to 873 of the family's 1533-position model. The record is from RNAcentral.